UGGAGUAUAGCUCAAUGGUAGAGCACUUGCCUAGCAAGCAUGAAGCUCUUGGUUCUAAUCCUUUCUACCAU
Molecule: transfer RNA, 71 nt
Filed under: Heterocephalus glaber (naked mole-rat)
Lineage: Eukaryota; Metazoa; Chordata; Mammalia; Rodentia; Bathyergidae
Rfam family: tRNA
About the family: Transfer RNA (tRNA) molecules are approximately 80 nucleotides in length.
Source: Rfam by way of RNAcentral